Molecule: ribosomal RNA, 305 nt
Filed under: uncultured bacterium
Lineage: Bacteria
Description: bacterial SSU rRNA
Rfam family: Bacterial small subunit ribosomal RNA
Source: RNAcentral
GCCUACGGGGGGCAGCAGUGGGGAAUAUUGCACAAUGGGGGAAACCCUGAUGCAGCGACGCCGCGUGAGCGAAGAAGUAUUUCGGUAUGUAAAGCUCUAUCAGCAGGGAAGAAAAAUGACGGUACCUGAGUAAGAAGCCCCGGCUAACUACGUGCCAGCAGCCGCGGUAAUACGUAGGGGGCAAGCGUUAUCCGGAUUUACUGGGUGUAAAGGGAGCGUAGACGGCAUGGCAAGUCUGAAGUGAAAGCCCGGGGCUCAACCGCGGGACUGCUUUGGAAACUGUUAAGCUGGAGUGCAGGAGAGGG